Molecule: long non-coding RNA, 548 nt
Organism: Morone saxatilis (striped sea-bass)
Lineage: Eukaryota; Metazoa; Chordata; Actinopteri; Moronidae
Exons: 2
Source: RefSeq, a predicted model, not a curated record
UACUUCAGCAGCAGUUGUAAACAUUAAAAUUUAUUGGGCAAGAUGUAUGUCAAGAAGCAGCCAUAACUUUGCAUGAAAAUACAAUCGCAACACAGAUUUUUAUACAAUAUAUCGGGACAGUGUGACAGUCCAAAUAUGUUCCUGGUAGUAUUCUGACAUCUAGUGGCUCAAUAUCACUACUGCACUCACGGUUCAGGUUGAUGGUGUUUUCUUGCAGUCUCACAAAUCCUUGGCAAAAAGCACAAAUGCAGUCAUUUAGUUAUCUUCUAAAAUUAUAGCUGCAGUAAAAACUUAUGAACACUAGCAUUUCUCAUAGGUUUUGUACAUUAAAAACAGUUGGUUCAGCUUUAACAUGACUGCCAGAAUUACUUUUUAGUAAUGUUUAAGAGGUCACUGGUUUGGUUAGGAAAUCCUGUGCCACAGUGGCCAUGAAUGCACACCCAGAAAGGUCAUGAACUGCCAAACUUUAUUUUCUGAUAAAACAAAGGACAGCGUUAAAACAUUUCAACACUGUAACGACAUUCACUCACUGUCUUACUUGUGUGAAA